UACGUAGGGUGCGCGCGUUGUCCGGAAUUAUUGGGCGUAAAGAGCUCGUAGGCGGUCUGUCGCGUCGAUCGUGAAAACUUGGGGCUUAACCCUGAGCUUGCGGUCGAUACGGGCGUGACUGGAGUUCGGCAGGGGAGACUGGACUUCCUGGUGUAGCGGUGAAAUGCGCAGAUAUCAGGAGGAACACCGGUGGCGAAGGCGGGUCUCUGGGCCGAUACUGACGCUGAGGAGCGAAAGCGUGGGGAGCGAACAGG
This 254-nucleotide ribosomal RNA is filed under the name uncultured bacterium. Its description in RNAcentral is "partial 16S ribosomal RNA". It matches the Rfam family "Bacterial small subunit ribosomal RNA", at positions 524 to 776 of the family's 1533-position model. The record is from RNAcentral.